This 509-nucleotide long non-coding RNA is filed under the name Phasianus colchicus (ring-necked pheasant). Its description in RNAcentral is "lncRNA (ENSPCLG00000002664.1)". The record is from RNAcentral. Lineage: Eukaryota; Metazoa; Chordata; Aves; Galliformes; Phasianidae.
AGGGGAUGGACAUUACUUUAGAAAAGCCUGUGCCCCCCAGUGGGGGCAGGAGAUGGUAAGCCCUGAUUUCUUAAUUCACGCUCUGUGUAGCCUCCCUCUUGAAAAUGGGCAGCUGGGAUUGCCUGGAUUUCACUUCAGAGGUGUCAAGUAAACCCCUGCGAGGACUGUGGUGUGCUCUGCUCCAGCCUGGAACUCCACUUGAAUGUGUGCAACUACACAGGAUGUGUAGCAAGUGUUCAAGAACGUGCAGUCAAGGCACUGGUGUUGGCUGUGAGGAGCUGCCCUUUGUUGUCCUGAUGGGAGAGAGAAGUAGAGAUAGUCUGGAACAUGCAGAGUUGUGUCAGAACAUAUGCACCGUGGGCAGUAGCGAGUCAUCCUGUCAGCGCUUCUGCCCUGUCCUAGAUGGAUGGCCUCCAGCUUGGAGCUUGCCUCUUGGCUCCGCCAAGGCUGCUGGCACGUACCUGCUUCUGCUGUGGAAGCCUUUUGAUGUAGGUGGUUGCCUGCUGUGA